RNAcentral lists this long non-coding RNA (244 nucleotides) under Danio rerio (zebrafish). Its description in RNAcentral is "lncRNA (ENSDARG00000117415.1)". Lineage: Eukaryota; Metazoa; Chordata; Actinopteri; Cypriniformes; Danionidae. The record is from RNAcentral.
AUGGCUCUCCAGGUGAGUGGAGUCAAACAGAUGGAGGUGGAAGAGGAAUUGUAUGACAGCUGUGCCGCAGCGCUUUGGCACGACCGGUGGGCAGAGGCUCCAUAUUUAAGAGCUAAAGAUGGACAGACUGUAACAAGACGCAUCCUGGCAGAAAAAAAGUUGAUGUUUGCAAGGUAAAUCAUCCAAAUAUUACAAGAAACUGUAUAUGACAGUAUUUCAAGUCAUCAUAAAUAUAAUGAAUAAA